GCUUUCGUGGUGUAGUGGUCAGCACACUGAGCCGGUAUUUCAGAGGUCCGCGGUUCGAUUCCCGGCGAAAGCG
RNAcentral lists this transfer RNA (73 nucleotides) under Stegodyphus mimosarum. It matches the Rfam family "tRNA". Rfam says of the family: Transfer RNA (tRNA) molecules are approximately 80 nucleotides in length. Their secondary structure includes four short double-helical elements and three loops (D, anti-codon, and T loops). Lineage: Eukaryota; Metazoa; Arthropoda; Arachnida; Araneae; Eresidae. The record is from Rfam by way of RNAcentral.